Molecule: ribosomal RNA, 688 nt
Filed under: uncultured low G+C Gram-positive bacterium
Lineage: Bacteria; Bacillati; Bacillota
Description: bacterial SSU rRNA
Rfam family: Bacterial small subunit ribosomal RNA
Source: RNAcentral
AGCCUGGGAUAACGCCGGGAAACCGGUGCUAAUACCAGAUAUCGUGGUUCGGAGGCAUCUCUGGACCACGAAAGGUAGCGUAAACGCUUCCUAGGAUGGGCCCGCGUUCCAUUAGCUAGUUGGUGAGGUAACGGCUCACCAAGGCUUCGAUGGGUAGCCGGCCUGAGAGGGUGAACGGCCACACUGGGACUGAGACACGGCCCAGACUCCUACGGGAGGCAGCAGUAGGGAAUAUUGCGCAAUGGGGGAAACCCUGACGCAGCGACGCCGCGUGAGUGAUGAAGGCCUUCGGGUCGUAAGACUCUGUCCUCAGGGAAGAAAACAAUGACGGUACCUGAGGAGGAAGCCCCGGCUAACUACGUGCCAGCAGCCGCGGUAAUACGUAGGGGGCGAGCCUUGUCCCGGAAUUAUUGGGCCUAAAGGGUGCGUAGCGGGCAACCCAGUCAGAUGUGAAAGACCACGGCUUAACCGUGGGGUUGCAUUUGAAACUAGUUGGCUUGAGUAUCGGAGAGGGUAGUGGAAUUCCUGGAGUAGCGGUGAAAUGCGUAGAUAUCAGGAGGAACACCAGUGGCGAAGGCGACUACCUGGACGAACACUGACGCUGAGGCACGAAAGCUAGGGGAGCAAACAGGAUUAGAUACCCUGGUAGUCCUAGCUGUAAACGAUGGGUGCUAGGUGUUGGGGGUAU